RNAcentral lists this ribosomal RNA (484 nucleotides) under uncultured bacterium. RNAcentral describes it as "partial 16S ribosomal RNA". It matches the Rfam family "Bacterial small subunit ribosomal RNA", at positions 30 to 507 of the family's 1533-position model. The record is from RNAcentral.
AUUGAACGCUGGCGGCAGGCCUAACACAUGCAAGUCGAGCGGAUGAAGGGAGCUUGCUCCUGGAUUCAGCGGCGGACGGGUGAGUAAUGCCUAGGAAUCUGCCUGGUAGUGGGGGAUAACGUCCGGAAACGGGCGCUAAUACCGCAUACGUCCUGAGGGAGAAAGUGGGGGAUCUUCGGACCUCACGCUAUCAGAUGAGCCUAGGUCGGAUUAGCUAGUUGGUGGGGUAAAGGCCUACCAAGGCGACGAUCCGUAACUGGUCUGAGAGGAUGAUCAGUCACACGGGAACGGAGCCAGGGACGAGCCACCGAAGGGGGGAGGCAGGGGGGAAUUUUGGACAAGGGGGGAGAGUUUAAUCCACCAAUGCGGGGUGGGGGAAGAAGGUUUUGGGUUUUAAAAGCAUUUUAAGUUGGGGGAAAGGAAAGAAAGUUAAUACCUUGUUUUUUUGAGUUUACCAAAAAAAUAAACACCGGCAAACUUGGUG